This 351-nucleotide ribosomal RNA is filed under the name uncultured Eikenella sp. RNAcentral's name for it is "bacterial SSU rRNA". It matches the Rfam family "Bacterial small subunit ribosomal RNA", at positions 1029 to 1382 of the family's 1533-position model. Lineage: Bacteria; Pseudomonadati; Pseudomonadota; Betaproteobacteria; Neisseriales; Neisseriaceae. The record is from RNAcentral.
AGAACACAGGUGCUGCAUGGCUGUCGUCAGCUCGUGUCGUGAGAUGUUGGGUUAAGUCCCGCAACGAGCGCAACCCUUGUCAUUAGUUGCCAUCAUUUAGUUGGGCACUCUAAUGAGACUGCCGGUGACAAACCGGAGGAAGUGGGGAUGACGUCAAGUCCUCAUGGCCCUUAUGGGUAGGGCUUCACACGUCAUACAAUGGCCGGUACAGACGGACGCAAAGCCGCGAGGUGGAGCAAAUCCUAAAAAGCCGGUCUCAGUUCGGAUUGCAGGCUGCAAUUCGCCUGCAUGAAGUCGGAAUCGCUAGUAAUCGCAGGUCAGCAUACUGCGGUGAAUACGUUCCCGGGCCUU